GGCGAUCAAGAUACCGCCCUAGUUCUGACCGUAAACGAUGCCAACUAGCGAUCCGCCGGUGGAUUUUUAGCCCUGGUGGGUAGCUUCCCGGAAACGAAAGUCUUCCGGUUCCGGGGGAAGUAUGGUUGCAAAGCUGAAACUUAAAGGAAUUGACGGAAGGGCACCACCAGGAGUGGAGCCUGCGGCUUAAUUUGACUCAACACGGGGAAACUCACCCGGCCCGGACACCGUAAGGAUUGACAGAUUGAUAGCUCUUUCAUGAUUCGGUGGUUGGUGGUGCAUGGCCGUUCUUAGUUCGUGGAUCGAUUUGUCUGGUUUAUUCCGAUAACGAGCGAGACUCUAGCCUACUAAAUAGUAACGAGAUUAUCAAUGUCUCAGUUGCUUCUUAGAGGGAUUUUCGGUGUUUAGCCGCACGAGAUUGAGCAAUAACAGGUCUGUGAUGCCCUUAGAUGUCCGGGGCUGCACGCGCGCUACACUGGCGAAAUCAGCGUGCUGUAUCCAUUCUCGAAAGGGAUUGGUAAACCCAUGAAAAUUUGCCGUGCUUGGGAUCGGAAAUUGCAAUUAUUUUCCGUGAACGAGGAAUUCCAAGUAAGUGCGAGUCAUCACCUC
This 609-nucleotide ribosomal RNA is filed under the name Acrobeloides sp. MCb13f-r. RNAcentral describes it as "SSU rRNA". It matches the Rfam family "Eukaryotic small subunit ribosomal RNA", at positions 1003 to 1637 of the family's 1831-position model. The record is from RNAcentral. Lineage: Eukaryota; Metazoa; Nematoda; Chromadorea; Rhabditida; Cephalobidae.